This 491-nucleotide ribosomal RNA is filed under the name uncultured bacterium. RNAcentral's name for it is "bacterial SSU rRNA". It matches the Rfam family "Bacterial small subunit ribosomal RNA", at positions 18 to 507 of the family's 1533-position model. The record is from RNAcentral.
CCUGGCUCAGGAUGAACGCUGGCGGCGUGCCUAACACAUGCAAGUCGAACGAAGCAAUUAUGAAAGCGUCUUCGGACAAUGGAUUAAUUGACUGAGUGGCGGACGGGUGAGUAACGCGUGGGUAACCUGCCUCAUACAGGGGGAUAACAGUUGGAAACGACUGCUAAUACCGCAUAAGCGCACAGGACCGCAUGGUCUGGUGUGGAAAAACUCCGGUGGUAUGAGAUGGACCCGCGUCUGAUUAGCUAGUUGGUGGGUAACGGCCUACCAAGGCGACGAUCAGUAGCCGACCUGAGAGGGUGACCGGCCACAUUGGGACUGAGACACGGCCCAAACUCCUACGGGAGGCAGCAGUGGGGAAUAUUGCACAAUGGGCGAAAGCCUGAUGCAGCGACGCCGCGUGAGCGAAGAAGUAUUUCGGUAUGUAAAGCUCUAUCAGCAGGGAAGAAAAAAUGACGGUACCUGACUAAGAAGCACCGGCUAAAUACGUG